This 253-nucleotide ribosomal RNA is filed under the name uncultured bacterium. RNAcentral describes it as "partial 16S ribosomal RNA". It matches the Rfam family "Bacterial small subunit ribosomal RNA", at positions 524 to 776 of the family's 1533-position model. The record is from RNAcentral.
UACGUAGGGGGCAAGCGUUGUCCGGAUUUAUUGGGCGUAAAGAGCGUGUAGGCGGUUAGUUAGGUCCGUUGUGAAAACUCGAGGCUCAACCCCGAGACUCCGUUGGAAACCAUCUGACUAGGGUUCGGAAGAGGAGAGUGGAAUUCCUGGUGUAGCGGUGAAAUGCGCAGAUAUCAGGAAGAACACCCGUGGCGAAGGCGGCUCUCUAGUACGGUACUGACGCUGAGGCGCGAAAGCGUGGGGAGCGAACAGG